GUGGAUUAGAUACCCUGGUAGUCCACGCCCUAAACGAUGUCAACUAGGUGUUGGGGAAGGAGACUUCUUUAGUGCCGCAGCUAACGCGUGAAGUUGACCGCCUGGGGAGUACGGUCGCAAGAUUAAAACUCAAAGGAAUUGACGGGGACCCGCACAAGCGGUGGAUUAUGUGGAUUAAUUCGAUGCAACGCGAAAAACCUUACCUACCCUUGACAUGUCAGGAACUUUCCAGAGAUGGAUUGGUGCCCGAAAGGGAACCUGAACACAGGUGCUGCACGGUCGUCGACAGCU
This 291-nucleotide ribosomal RNA is filed under the name uncultured bacterium. Its description in RNAcentral is "partial 16S ribosomal RNA". It matches the Rfam family "Bacterial small subunit ribosomal RNA", at positions 773 to 1060 of the family's 1533-position model. The record is from RNAcentral.